This 780-nucleotide ribosomal RNA is filed under the name uncultured bacterium. RNAcentral describes it as "bacterial SSU rRNA". It matches the Rfam family "Bacterial small subunit ribosomal RNA", at positions 8 to 796 of the family's 1533-position model. The record is from RNAcentral.
AGAGUUUGAUCCUGGCUCAGAUUGAACGCUGGCGGUAUGCCUAACACAUGCAAGUCGAACGAGGUAGCAAUACCUAGUGGCGGACGGGUGAGGAAUACGUAGGGAUCUGCCUUUAAGUGGGGGAUAACCCGGGGAAACCCGGAUUAAUACCGCAUGAUCUCGCAAGAGCAAAGAGGGGGACCGCAAGGCCUCUCGCUUUUAGAGGAACCUACGUCGGAUUAGCUAGUUGGUGAGGUAAUGGCUCACCAAGGCGACGAUCCGUAACUGGUCUGAGAGGAUGAUCAGUCACACCGGAACUGAGACACGGUCCGGACUCCUACGGGAGGCAGCAGUGGGGAAUAUUGGACAAUGGGCGAAAGCCUGAUCCAGCAAUACCGCGUGUGUGAAGAAGGCCUUCGGGUUGUAAAGCACUUUAAGUUGGGAAGAAAAAGCUUCACCUAAUACGUGAAGCCUUGAUGGUACCGACAGAAUAAGCACCGGCUAACUCUGUGCCAGCAGCCGCGGUAAUACAGAGGGUGCUAGCGUUAAUCGGAUUUACUGGGCGUAAAGCGUGCGUAGGCGGUUUGAUAAGUCGAUUGUGAAAGCCCCGGGCUUAACCUGGGAAUUGCGGUCGAUACUGUCAGACUCGAAAACGGUAGAGGGAGGCGGAACUCCAGGUGUAGCGGUGAAAUGCGUAGAUAUCUGGAAGAACACCGAUGGCGAAGGCAACCUCCUGGGCCUGUUUUGACGCUGAGGCACGAAAGCGUGGGUAGCAAACAGGAUUAGAUACCCUGGUAGUCC